Long non-coding RNA from Electrophorus electricus (electric eel), 936 nucleotides. RefSeq lists it as uncharacterized. Lineage: Eukaryota; Metazoa; Chordata; Actinopteri; Gymnotiformes; Gymnotidae. The record is from RefSeq and is a predicted model, not a curated record.
CCCUGCCUUGUUCCCUUAGUUUUUGCUGUUCAUUUGAAUUUCUGAAUGUGUUUCGUUUUGAUGGUUUCUUUAAUCUGUGUUCCAAAGCCUUAAUUUUUGUUAGCCUGUCUUGUUUAGCCCUGAGCGUUUUCCUAGCCUUAUCCUGCUUUCCCGUUUGUCUUCGUGUGUGAUUUUGUUUACGCAUGUAUCCCCGUGCUCUCCGUGUUGGCCCUGGACUGCUUUAACGCCUCUGAUUCUGGAUUUGCCCUUAUUAAAUCUUGCUCUUCUCCGUACAUGCGUUCGCCUCUUUAUCACUCAACGUUACACACAUGGUCCACUGAUUUGAAGAGCGACAAGCCUCCGAUUCUCAACGCUCCUAAGGCACACCACUCUUGAGUCAGCAAACGGCCUCACGUUUCUUACAGAGAGGCGGCGUCCUUGUCAUCGGAAGACACUCCCCCAGCGCUCUGGUGCCUACGCGCAAAGCCUCAAAGACUCAAGAAGGAGGCCUCGCCACUGCCCGCCCCAGAGACAGGGAAAAUAGUGGUGCGCUUCCUGAUGCGUCUGCCACAAAGUCGGAGAAGCCACCGCCACCCAAAUCCGCCUCGGUCCUCUAGCCUCACUGUUUGCUGUUGGUCAUGGGGCCGUAGCCCGACAGGCUGGUGCGCCGGGAGUCAUACCGUUGCGGAGGGGCUCUGUCACGACUACAGAGAAACUGGACAGAGAAACUGUGCUCCACACUCCUGCAUCAGGGAAACCACUGUGUUUUCAUGCUGAGACCAAGAAAUGGCUCUGGUUUUGCUGUAUAAAACAAACAGCACGGAUGGGCCAAGAAACUGUGCUUUAUCAACACCAACAUGAACUGUGCUUUUCCUUUUGUCAACUCCACUGGUCAUAAUGAACCGUGUACUAGCAUAUCAUUUUUAAUGUAAAGUUUUUAAUUUAAAUAAAGUGAGA